AUACGGAGGAUGCGAGCGUUAUCCGGAUUUAUUAGGUUUAAAGGGUGUGUAGGCGGUAUUUUAAGUCAGUGGUGAAAUCUCGGAGCUUAACUUCGAAACUGCCAUUGAUACUGGAAUACUUGAGUAUAGUUGAGGUAGGCGGAAUAUGUAAUGUAGCGGUGAAAUGCAUAGAUAUUACAUAGAACACCGAUUGCGAAGGCAGCUUACUAAACUAUUACUGACGCUGAUGCACGAAAGCGUGGGGAGCGAACAGGAUUAGAAACCCUAGUAGUCC
Molecule: ribosomal RNA, 274 nt
Filed under: uncultured bacterium
Lineage: Bacteria
Description: partial 16S ribosomal RNA
Rfam family: Bacterial small subunit ribosomal RNA
Source: RNAcentral